Molecule: ribosomal RNA, 379 nt
Filed under: uncultured bacterium
Lineage: Bacteria
Description: bacterial SSU rRNA
Rfam family: Bacterial small subunit ribosomal RNA
Source: RNAcentral
AUUGAACGCUGGCGGCAUGCUUUACACAUGCAAGUCGAACGGCAGCACGGGGGCAACCCUGGUGGCGAGUGGCGAACGGGUGAGUAACACAUCGGAACGUGUCCAGUUGUGGGGGAUAACCCAUCGAAAGGUGGGCUAAUACCGCAUGAGCUGGCAACAGGAAAGCGGGGGACCCGCAAGGGCCUUGUGCGAUUGGAGCGGCCGAUGUCCGAUUAGCUAGUUGGUGGGGAAAGCCUACCAAGGCUUCGAUCGGUAGCUGGUCUGAGAGGAUGAUCAGCCACACUGGGACUGAGACACGGCCCAGACUCCUACGGGAGGCAGCAGUGGGGAAUUUUGGACAAUGGGGCAACCCUGAUCCAGCCAUGCCGCGUGAGUGAAG